UUCUAUCCAAGAGUGUAUGUACAGAGGGUGGCCUUAAACCUAUCACUGCCUGUGUGGACACCGAGAGGAGCCUCUGGUGCUGGCGAGGGCGUACACAAGCCUCCUGUGACUUGAGAACUUGGCCUCUCCUCUCACAAUGGCUCUCAGACCAGUGAGACUCUGGGAUGGGAAGAGAGCCCAUCCCUGAUCCACUGGUUAUUGUCAUGACUGGGUAUACUCUUUGCCAGGGGCUAGGACUCCAUUUCCUUAAGGCCCUCAGCUAGGGUCACAGUGCGCUGACCCACCGCUCUC
RNAcentral lists this long non-coding RNA (291 nucleotides) under Rattus norvegicus (Norway rat). RNAcentral's name for it is "long non-coding RNA NONRATT003771". Lineage: Eukaryota; Metazoa; Chordata; Mammalia; Rodentia; Muridae. The record is from RNAcentral.